CUGUCUAUGUGGCUCAAGAAGCAGAGUUUGAAGUUGUCUUCACCAUGGCUUGGUCUCCACUUUUCUUAAUCCUGCUUGUUCACUGCACAGGUGA
Molecule: microRNA precursor, 94 nt
Filed under: Marmota monax (woodchuck)
Lineage: Eukaryota; Metazoa; Chordata; Mammalia; Rodentia; Sciuridae
Source: RNAcentral